Molecule: ribosomal RNA, 1416 nt
Filed under: uncultured fungus
Lineage: Eukaryota; Fungi
Description: eukaryotic LSU rRNA
Rfam family: Eukaryotic large subunit ribosomal RNA (bases 776-1416)
Source: RNAcentral
AAGUCGUAACAAGGUUUCCGUAGGUGAACCUGCGGAAGGAUCAUUACACGUGAUUUAAGAGAUUUAAGAUAUUUCCUUUGUAAAACUUUUUGUAAAAAAGAAGUAGAAGGAGGGGAAUAUCUUAAAUUAAUUAAUCCCAACCCUUGUCGAUUUAAAAAAAUCUAUUUGUUGCUUCGGCGAUUUUACCAAGAUUUGUUCUAUUAUCUUCUCUCCUCUUGGGGGUGAAGGGAAAUAAAAGCUAUCUUGUCGCCAGAAGAAGAAAAAAAACUCUUUUUAAAACUAUAAUUGUCUGAAUUAUUUUGAGAUUGAGAUAACUUCUUGAUUGAAAAAAAAAUACAAAAUAAAAUACAACUUUCAACAACGGAUCUCUUGGUUCUGGCAUCGAUGAAGAACGCAGCGAAAUGCGAUAAGUAAUGUGAAUUGCAGAAUUUUGUGAAUCAUCGAAUCUUUGAACGCACAUUGCACCUUUUGGUAUUCCGAAAGGUAUGCUUGUUCGAGCGUCGUUUAAACAAAUAUCAAUAUAAUUUUUAAUUUAUUAUUAUUAAUUCAUUUUGAUGUCUUGAAGGAUUAAAGUCAAAUUUAACCUUUAAAAAGAAUUGAAGCGAUCUUGACUGAUUAUUAUUGAACGCAUUAAGUUUUUAUCCAAAUACAACAACUCGUGCAAGAAAAUUCAGUGUGAGAGCAGCCAAAUUUAAACCCACCAAAGAGCGACUAUUAUGUUAUUAUUUAAUAAUGAUAAUAAUAAUUCUCUUCUUUGGAAAAAAUAAUAAAAUAUCGACCUCGAAUCAAGUAGGAUUACCCGCUGAACUUAAGCAUAUCAAUAAGCGGAGGAAAAGAGACCAACAGGGAUUGCCUUAGUAACGGCGAGUGAAGCGGCAAAAGCUCAGAUUUGAAAUCUCUUUUUAUUCUUGAAAAGCGAAUUGUAAUCUGUAGAAGGUUGAAUGGCUGAAAUAUCUGAUUUAAGUUCCAUGGAAUCGGACAUCAUAGAGGGUGAGAAUCCCGUGAGUAUCAGAAACUAAGCUACUAAAUUCACCUUUCGACGAGUCGAGUUGUUUGGGAAUGCAGCUCUAAUUGGGUGGUAAAUUUCAUCUAAAGCUAAAUACCUGCCAGAGACCGAUAGCGAACAAGUAGAGUGAUCGAAAGAUGAAAAGCACUUUGAAGAGAGAGUUAAAUAGUACGUGAAAUUGUUGAAAGGGAAGCGCUUGCGAUUAGACUUGAUAUUUAAAUUCGAUUUUACUCACGGGUAAAGUUUAUUUUUUAUUUAUCAGGCCAGCAUCAGUUUGGUGAGAUUUAAAAAUAUUUUGGAAAUGUAGUUUUCAUUUCGGUGAAAAUGUUAUAGUUCAUUAUAUCAAAAAUUUAUACCAGACUGAGGUCUGCCAUUCUUGUAGGAUGCUGGCAUAAUGAUCGUAAGCGACC